RNAcentral lists this ribosomal RNA (254 nucleotides) under uncultured bacterium. RNAcentral's name for it is "partial 16S ribosomal RNA". It matches the Rfam family "Bacterial small subunit ribosomal RNA", at positions 524 to 776 of the family's 1533-position model. The record is from RNAcentral.
CACGUAGGGGGCAAGCGUUGUCCGGAUUUAUUGGGCGUAAAGAGCUCGUAGGCGGCUCAGUUAGUCGGGUGUGAAACCCCCGGGCUCAACCCGGGGACGCCACCCGAUACUGCUGUGGCUAGAGUCCGGUAGGGGAGCGUGGAAUUCCUGGUGUAGCGGUGAAAUGCGCAGAUAUCAGGAAGAACACCCGUGGCUAAGGCGGCUCUCUAGUACGGUACUGACGCUGAGACGCGAAAGCGUGGGGAGCGAACAGG